AUGCUCAGUGUGAUUAAAUGUGUUGCUUUAUCCAAGAUGGCUGAUAAGCCUGUAUGGACCUUAGAAAGUAAAGGAGUGUAUUCAGUGAAAUCUAUGUAUAAAAUGAUCAAUUGGGGGGGAGUGGUCUCUAUUUGGAGAGAUUUUAUUUGGAGAAUUAAAGUCCCACCUAAUAUUCAUGUGUUUCUUUGGUUAAUGGUGCAUAACAAGAGUCUAACUAGGGAUAAUCUGGCUAAACGCCAACAUGUGGAGGACCUGACGUGUGUCUUCUGUGGUGAAGCUGAAAGUAUCCAUCACCUAUUUUUUGAGUGUGUGGUGGCCCGACAAGUGUGGCUCAUGAUUUCUAACUGCACUAAGAUGCAUGUGCCUGAAUCGUUUGAAUCUUUUAUUCCUUUUUGGAAGAAGAAAAAACACUAUGAUGCAAUUAACCUGAUCUCUGCUGCUACCUUAUGGAGCUUAUGGUUGUUCCGGAAUGAAUUUGUGUUUCAGGGGAGAAAAUGGCGAAGCAUCAAGUGUGUGCUGGAACUGGUGGGGAGGCAUAUCCAUCAAUGGAAAAUCUUGUGUGUGCCCAAGCUGUGCUACUCCUCCAAUGCUUGA
This 594-nucleotide ribosomal RNA is filed under the name Triticum aestivum (bread wheat). RNAcentral's name for it is "partial small subunit ribosomal RNA". Lineage: Eukaryota; Viridiplantae; Streptophyta; Magnoliopsida; Poales; Poaceae. The record is from RNAcentral.